Molecule: ribosomal RNA, 439 nt
Filed under: uncultured bacterium
Lineage: Bacteria
Description: partial 16S ribosomal RNA
Rfam family: Bacterial small subunit ribosomal RNA
Source: RNAcentral
CUACGGGGUGCAGCAGUGGGGGAUAUUGCACAAUGGGGGAAACCCUGAUGCAGCAACGCCGCGUGAAGGAAGACGGUUUUCGGAUUGUAAACUUCUAUCAGCAGGGAAGAAAUUGACGGUACCUGACUAAGAAGCCCCGGCUAACUACGUGCCAGCAGCCGCGGUAAUACGUAGGGGGCAAGCGUUAUCCGGAUUUACUGGGUGUAAAGGGUGCGUAGGCGGUUAUUUAAGUCAGAUGUGAAAGCCCGAGGCUCAACCUCGGGACUGCAUUUGAAACUGGAUAACUAGAGUACAGGAGAGGAAAGCGGAAUUCCUAGUGUAGCGGUGAAAUGCGUAGAUAUUAGGAAGAACACCAGUGGCGAAGGCGGCUUUCUGGACUGUAACUGACGCUGAGGCACGAAAGCGUGGGGAGCGAACAGGAUUAGAUACCCUAGUAGUC